GCUGGUGGCUGUCUUCUAGGCAUUGUGCUGCCUUGGUGGUGAGAUUGAGUGAGCAAGCUGAGGACAGAGAAUACAAGGGAGACGACAGAACCUUACCUCCUCCUACUGUCAAGAUGAAGAAUAUAGAUUCUUCAUCUACUGGAGAUUCAGCAGCUGUUUGGGCCGGGCCUUUAGAUCACCACCUCUGAAAUCUUCAACACAAACCUACUCCUGGCAUUUAAAGUCUACCAACAUCUUUAUAAGCAUCUCCACGUGACAUCUGAUAGGCAAAGCCAAACAGCAGCGGAAACGGAGCCGGUGUUCUUGAUGUCUUCCUCACUUGGACUGUCUCCUCCCUCAACUCCCUCAACCUUCCUCCUCUUAGCAGGUGGCACCACUCUGCUCCUCAACCCUAAAGUCCAAGAGUUCUGUUGGAGUAAUCUGUACCUACCACUGGGCUACCCAACCCAUCCCACACCUCUGACUGCACACAUUGCUUGGAUUCCAUCACCCUCAUCAGACCCAAAGUGGAGGUGACCAGACUCCCAUGUGCUCUGCUUUUAGCAAGUGUUAUCCUUGGAAAAUUCCAAUCAGACCCCUCCACUCUCAUAUAAUCCAGCCUGUCUCAUGCUAUCUUAUUCCAGCAGGCACAGCAGCCCAGCCCCUUCCUUGCCUCCUUCCCCAGCCCCAGGCCUGUCUCAGCAGCCCACUCAUCUCAAUGGCUUUGACUUUAUUAGCAAUUUUUCACACUGACCACAUCAUGAUCUCGAGUUCGUCCUGUGUGCUUAUUUUCUGUCCUAUCCCUUGAGAAUACAAGCUUCCUGAGCACAGGGGACCUUCCCUCCCGACCCCACCCCCUGCUGUUUCCCAAGGCUCAGCAUCAGAGCCUGGCAUCUGGACCACAUUUGUUGAGUCUGUGAAUGACUGAACUCCACACUUCCUGUCCUUUGCUCUCAGUACGCUGCCAUUGUCUUCACUACUGUCCGCAUUGUUAAAUAACCGUUUGUGGUCGUGCAUUUUAUUCAUAGGCUCUGAAUUUUAACAAGAGGUUACCUCUUUAGUGUGCAAGUCGUCUCUUUGAGCCUAGACUUUUGGUUGUGGCCCGUGACUCAAAUACUAUACUGGUAGGAAAACUUUCAACAGCAAACCACACACAUUGUCAGAGGCCAGCUUUGACCUGCUCAGUGGUAUAAGAGAACAGAGA
Molecule: long non-coding RNA, 1183 nt
Organism: Mus musculus (house mouse)
Lineage: Eukaryota; Metazoa; Chordata; Mammalia; Rodentia; Muridae
Product: predicted gene, 36154
Exons: 3
Source: RefSeq, a predicted model, not a curated record